RNAcentral lists this small RNA (137 nucleotides) under marine eukaryotic metagenome. RNAcentral describes it as "Alphaproteobacterial sRNA BjrC1505". It matches the Rfam family "Alphaproteobacterial sRNA BjrC1505". The record is from RNAcentral.
UUUAACUAUUUGUUAGCCAGUCGUUAUGUAUUGUUUAUAGGCGUAAUCCAGUCAUCUGGAUUUGAGUGGCUCCUAUCCACUCUGUUUGACGCCUCCCUGUUAGAACUUGAGCCGCAGGCAACUGUGGCUCAUUUUUU